GCGGUUGUCGCACAACGGCAGUGCGCUGCCUCGCCAUGGCAGAGAUCCGGGUUCGACUCCCGGCUACCGCUCCA
Molecule: transfer RNA, 74 nt
Filed under: Saccharothrix algeriensis
Lineage: Bacteria; Bacillati; Actinomycetota; Actinomycetes; Pseudonocardiales; Pseudonocardiaceae
Also listed under: 2 other names
Description: tRNA-Gly
Rfam family: tRNA
About the family: Transfer RNA (tRNA) molecules are approximately 80 nucleotides in length.
Source: RNAcentral